CCUGAGAAACCCAAAAGUUCGAAUGGAGAGAUUCAUCGUCAGCGAUCCUGGCAAUUGUGCGGUUCACGAUGUCCGGGACUUCGGUCCCGCGACACGCUGUCCGUAUGAUUUAUAUGCCGGGCGUCGUCGGCGUGCACUUCUCCCCUAGUAGGACGUCGCGACCCGUUGGGUGUCGGUCUACGACCCGGGUGGGUGCCCGUCAUGUGUUACGCUUCACGGCGUCAUGUGGCAGACCCCCGGCUGUCUGACCAGCUGCCCGGCGGUACUCGCACGGUAUCGAGCCGCAAUUAUUUGAACUGCGUCCGGCCCGCCGCAAGCGAGGCCAGUGUUUCCCGGAUGUACGGACUCAGCGCCGUCACCGGGCCUGGCCAGCUGUUGGCUGGCGGUGUCCUGGGACUGGCUCUUAAUAUACCGGUCGGCGACGCUACUGCUUUGGGUACUUUCAGGACCCGUCUUGAAACACGGACCAAGGAGUCUAACAUGUGCGCGAGUCAUUGGGAUCUAUUAAGCCUAAAGGCGCAAUGAAAGUGAAGGUAGGCCUCGCGCCGACCGAGGGAGGAUGGGCCGCGUCACGAUGCGGUCCCCGCACUCCCGGGGCGUCUCGUUCUCAUUGCGAGAAGAGGCGCACCCAGAGCGUACACGUUGGGACCCGAAAGAUGGU
Molecule: ribosomal RNA, 661 nt
Filed under: Cymodusa sp. JM86
Lineage: Eukaryota; Metazoa; Arthropoda; Insecta; Hymenoptera; Ichneumonidae
Description: eukaryotic LSU rRNA
Rfam family: Eukaryotic large subunit ribosomal RNA
Source: RNAcentral